GCCCUCGUAGCUUAAUAGCAUAGCGUGAGGUUUGUAACCUCAAGGUCGGGGGUGCAAAUCCCUCCGAGGGCU
This 72-nucleotide transfer RNA is filed under the name Candidatus Woesearchaeota archaeon. RNAcentral describes it as "tRNA-Thr". It matches the Rfam family "tRNA". Rfam says of the family: Transfer RNA (tRNA) molecules are approximately 80 nucleotides in length. Their secondary structure includes four short double-helical elements and three loops (D, anti-codon, and T loops). Lineage: Archaea; Nanobdellati; Candidatus Woesearchaeota. The record is from RNAcentral.